UAAUAAAUAAAUAAAAAUCUAAAAAAAAUAAAAAAUAAUUUUUUUAAUUAUACUAUUUCGAAAUUCAAACCCUAAACCCUAAACCCUAAAACUCAACUCUAAACCCUAAACCAUCAAUCCGGAACCCUAUUUUUUUUAAAUAAACCCUAAACCCUGAAACAUCAACUCUAAUCUCUAAACUCCGAAACAUCAACUCUAAACCCUAAACCCUAA
This 213-nucleotide long non-coding RNA is filed under the name Brassica napus (rape). Its description in RNAcentral is "long non-coding RNA (BNAP_LNC013253)". The record is from RNAcentral. Lineage: Eukaryota; Viridiplantae; Streptophyta; Magnoliopsida; Brassicales; Brassicaceae.